AGAUUUCAAGGCAUAUCCAACAAUUCUCCACUUUGCCUCUAAAUCGAUGGUGAUCCCAUCAACCACCGUGCUGCUCUCUCCAUCUUGAAUCUUCUAUUCAAGAUCACCGGAUUGUACCUCCUUCUUCAUCCUCAGAAUGCCUUCCGCUCUCAUGAAGAUCUUGCAUCCCACUACCAUAGGAUUUUAGGUAGCCCCACAAGAUUCACCGCACCCUCUUCAGAUUCCGAAGUGGUCAACUCUGUACCUCCCUGAAGA
This 255-nucleotide long non-coding RNA is filed under the name Trifolium pratense (red clover). Its description in RNAcentral is "long non-coding RNA (TPRA_LNC002996)". Lineage: Eukaryota; Viridiplantae; Streptophyta; Magnoliopsida; Fabales; Fabaceae. The record is from RNAcentral.